UACGGGGGGGGCAAGCGUUGUUCGGAAUUACUGGGCGUAAAGGGCGCGUAGGCGGCCCGCUAAGUCGAACGUGAAAUCCCCGGGCUCAACCCGGGAACUGCGUCCGAUACUGGCGGGCUUGAAUCCGGGAGAGGGAGGCGGAAUUCCAGGUGUAGCGGUGAAAUGCGUAGAUAUCUGGAGGAACACCGGUGGCGAAGGCGGCAUCCUGGACCGGCAUUGACGCUGAGGCGCGAAAGCCAGGGGAGCAAACGGG
This 253-nucleotide ribosomal RNA is filed under the name uncultured bacterium. RNAcentral describes it as "partial 16S ribosomal RNA". It matches the Rfam family "Bacterial small subunit ribosomal RNA", at positions 524 to 776 of the family's 1533-position model. The record is from RNAcentral.